Molecule: ribosomal RNA, 253 nt
Filed under: uncultured bacterium
Lineage: Bacteria
Description: partial 16S ribosomal RNA
Rfam family: Bacterial small subunit ribosomal RNA
Source: RNAcentral
UACGUAGGGGGCUAGCGUUGCUCGGAAUCACUGGGCGUAAAGGGCGCGUAGGCGGUUUGGAAAGUCCGAUGUGAAAUUCCUGGGCUCAACCUGGGAGCUGCAUUUGAUACGUUCGGACUAGAGUGGGGAAGAGGGUCGUGGAAUUCCCAGUGUAGGGGUGAAAUUCGUAGAUAUUGGGAAGAACACCGGUGGCGAAGGCGGCGACCUGGGCCUUGACUGACGCUGAGGCGCGAAAGCGUGGGGAGCAAACAGG